This is a long non-coding RNA of Homo sapiens (human), 951 nucleotides long. RefSeq lists it as uncharacterized. Lineage: Eukaryota; Metazoa; Chordata; Mammalia; Primates; Hominidae. The record is from RefSeq and is a predicted model, not a curated record. The transcript is spliced from 2 exons.
UCGAACUCCUGACCUCAGGUGAUCUACCCACCUCAGCCUCCCAAUGUGCUGGGAUUACAGGCAUGAGCCAUUACGCCUGGCCGCCUCAGCGUUCUUGAAAGCUUCCUGGGCUUCCUUGAGGGUCGGAGAGGGCCACUGAGUAAUGUGUGCCAGGAGUCCCCCCGGGGAGCACACAUUUCAGAUUCUGCUUGUGAGAGUCAGUGGCGGGCUUCUAGAAGGUUCCUAAGGCAGAUCUCUUUUGGUUAAUGAUGGGCUAUGUUUUAGUGAGACCUGCUAAGGCCAUAGUUCCGGAGGCUUCUAGGUGGUAGAAGCAAGGGAGGGAGGAGUUGGAAGAGAACUUUCCAAACUUGAGUGUGCUGCGCAUCACGUGGGGAUUGCCUCGGAGGUUCUGAGCAGGGGCUGGGGCAGGGUGAGAUGCUGCAUUUUGAACACUUUUGCACAUGAUGCGAUGCCUCUGGAUUGUAGACCAUACUUUGAGUGCAGUGGGCCAGGAGAUCAUCCAACCUGACCCUCUCCCCUUCAUUCAUUCAGGAGCCAGGCUGAUGCUGAUGGUGCAAAUCUCUACAUGACCCUGGAGGUUUCCAAGUUAGCUUAGAGGAGGAGGCAUGCAUGCGAAAACACACAUAUGACAAAGUGACAAAGGCCUAGGAUGGACCUCAGGACAGGCCCAGUCCCAGGGCGCAAGGCUACUUGCGUCAGCAGCGUGCCGAAGCAAGAUAGCGGAAUCAGGAAGAGAGCCGGCCGGAAGACACCUGCCCUGGCCGGAAGAUACGUACCCCUGAAGAUCGAGAAAGAGGCCAUCCGGGUAUCACGUAGCAGUUUCGUACGACUAGGAGACUUCCUGUUACAGGAGACUAUGAAACCUUUGUUCCGUCCUCACUUGGGGCUGACGCCAUUUUAGGCCUCAGCCCGCCUGCAUCCAGGCGCUCAUUAAAACAGCAUGUUGCUCCA